Cucumis melo (muskmelon) is the source of this 2249-nucleotide RNA transcript. It is a transcript of the gene named ras-related protein Rab11C-like, with no coding region annotated. The transcript is spliced from 4 exons. The record is from RefSeq and is a predicted model, not a curated record. Lineage: Eukaryota; Viridiplantae; Streptophyta; Magnoliopsida; Cucurbitales; Cucurbitaceae.
CUUUCACCCAAAUUUUGUAAAGAAACCUUAACUUUUUUUCCUCUCCCAUAUUUCUCUUCGACAAAAGAAAGCUCCACCAUGCGCGUCUUCCGUUUCUAAUCGUUCGUCUGCUCGCGUCGAUUCCAGCAGUCGUCGUCUGCUCACAGUGUCCGCCGCCAGUUCGAUCGAUCUCCUCAAGCUGCUGCCAUUUCUGCUCUUUUCCAGUCCGAUCUUCUCAAGUUGCCGUCGUUAUCUGCUCACAGCAUCCGCCACCAGUUCGAUCGAUCUCCUCAAGCUGUUGCCAUUUUUGCCCUUUUCCAGUCCGAUCUCCUCAAGUCGCCGUCGUCUGCUCGUUGUGUUCGCUGGUUCGUCCGCCAGCAGUUGCAUCUGUCGUCAUUUUUGCUCUUUGCAACCGCAACCAUCACCAGGGUUGUUAGAUGAAGGGAGAAGGAUGUGGUUAUGUGUUGUGGAACUUGUUUGCGUGGAUGCCAAUCAACUAACGUUGGUGAACCAAAAACAAAAAGAAAUUUUCUUGACAAUGCUAGCAAUAUUCUUACCAAUUUGUUAAGUGGUGGAAAUUUGGGAUCUAUGUCGAUAGCUGAAGGUGCGGUCUCUGAUUUGUUUGGCCGUCUACUCUUCUUUGCUCUAUAUGAUUGGUUCUUAUAGGUAUUUGCAUCUCAUAAAUCUCUUCGGUUUCAACUGAAAUAUUAGUUUCCUAUAAGGACACUCACUCCCUCUUAUAAUGUUAAUGUGAUGUGCACCUUUUCAUUUUGUCUGCUCAUGAGAUCUAAACAUCUAUUUCUUUUUAUUCAUUUUUUAUUCUUCAUCUGCAGCAUAGAUCUGUUUAUAGACUUGCCUUUGGACCAAAAGCAUUUGUUGUUGUAUCAGAACACAUUUGCUUUAGAACUUUUGAAGUGCUUUUUAUCAUGUUCUGUAUACUUUCUUUUGGUUACAACUUGUAGGGCAGAGUUAGUAAAAGGGCUUGAAAUUAAAAAAGGAGAAUAUAAAUUUGGUUAAAACUAUUCUAUCACUGUUCUUUAUGUUGCUACUGCAGCUUCUACUCCUAAAAUUCAUCAUGAUAUCUCUAACAUCUCUAAUUUCCUCCUCUAUAGCUUUUAAGUUCGACAGUAAGUACUGAUUUGUAUUGUUCUGUAGUUGUUCACUCCCAAAUUGAUAUUGACAUUCACUUGUUAGGCUUGGUCGAAAUAGAUCCAAACAAAAGAAUGCCGCAUUUCACCUCAGAGAGAAGAGGGUUAAAUACAUGGCUUUUCAUUUCUUUUUUUUUACAAAGUAAAAUGUUCUUUUAAGGAACUUCAUUGCUAAUUUUCAUGGUAUUUUUUUCUGUGGCUAAUGUUAUGUUUACCUUAGAAUGUUUCGUAUUUACUUUGAUAGUUCAUGAUCUUCUUGUUCUUCAUGAUUUUCAUAUUUAAUAGGAGGCUAUUAUCCCACCCCCAAGUUUUAAUUCUCUUCCUUGACACCUACUAAUAUGCAGAUCUAUGCUCCAAGGUAUUCAUUCUUUUCUAUACUAGAAAAUUGUCGUCGUGCACUUCUUAAUAUCUUGUUGACUUGAGCUUCAGUUCUAGAUUGUUGGUUCUAAUUUUUUGGUUUGUGGUCAUUUGAUUUGUAACUUUGUUUGAAAAUUCCACUGUUUACUCAAUGAUUCAAUUCUAUGAAGGAUGAAUUUUGUUAUAGUUGUUUGAAAUGAAACAAAUUUUUGGUCUUGUGGCAUUACACAAUUGUGUGAAUUUAUAGAUUUAUACGUUUUUUUUUCUAGGUGUAGAAAUGAAACAAAUUUUUGGUCUUGUAGCAUUACACGAUUGUUCGGCUUAUUUUAAUGCAUCUCUCAAUAUUUACCUGCUUUCUAAAUAGAUAUGUACUCAAGAAAAUGAUCGCGAAAUGAAACAAAUUUUUGCUCUUAUGGCAAAGUAAACAGAGAAGUUCAAGUGCACUGCCCACCAAGAGGUUUGUUCAAGAAAUCUAGGGCAGAGACUGCUAUGGCUCAUAAGGUAGACCACGAGUAUGAUUAUUUGUUUAAGAUUGUUCUGAUUGGGGAUUCCGACGUUGGGAAGUCCAACAUUCUUUCGAGAUUUACUAGAAACGAGUUUUGCUUGGAGUCCAAAUCCACCAUUGAUCUUUUGGGUUAGAUAAACAAGUUUUGUUGAUACUAGAUAUAAGAGAACUAGUUUUGUUGAUAUUUUGUUAAUACUGGAUAUAGGUGAACUAGUUUUGUUGAUAUUGGAUAUAGGUAAAAGACAAGUUUUGAUAUGGUA